Brassica napus (rape) is the source of this 8828-nucleotide long non-coding RNA. RefSeq lists it as uncharacterized. The transcript has 4 exons. Lineage: Eukaryota; Viridiplantae; Streptophyta; Magnoliopsida; Brassicales; Brassicaceae. The record is from RefSeq and is a predicted model, not a curated record.
CUUCUCCACCGAUUCAAACCUAAUCGAGGUAUGUGUUCCUCAUCCUUCAUGGGACUGUCGUUUGUGAUUGUAAAUGAAAUAGAGUAACGGUUUUGUUAAUUUUGAAUACGUCUUCCUUGCAUGCUUAGGUAAUAUUUAGCAAUUUACUUGUACAAACGCCUUGAUGCUUGAUGCUUGAUGGUUGAUUUUAGUAAGAAAAUUAGAUGGCCUUCAUGGUUGAUUUCAUUGAGGAUCAUUCGAAUUCCUGUUAUUGAUUCAAAUGAUAAAGUAUUGUGUUUUGAAUACGUCUUCCUUCCUUAUAUAUUGAUUCUUCAUUUCUGGAAAAAAAAUUUGUGUUUUGUUUUCUGUGUAUAUUGUAUCAAGAAUUGCAUAUGAUUAUUUGAUAAUUAUCGUUUCUACGUUACAAAUAGAGUUUCAUCUAUAUAUUGCAACCGAUUAUUUAGAGACUCUCGUUUCUAUUGAGUCUGGUUAUUUAGAGUUAAUGUUAGACUUAGUUCGAUUGAAACCAAAUAAACUUUCAAUUUAAUGAGGUAGUAAAAAGUACAGUUGAUAGGUUUAGUGUUGUUGUUUCUGUAAUAACUUUUGAUAAGACCUUGGUGGUUUAUGGUUAGUCAUAAUGUGGCUUACUUACCACACUUUAAAUUUUGUCUAUUAAACCCCAACCAUACUUCUAUAAUCGACACAAUCUACUCAAGCUAUAAUAUUAUCCCCGUUCUCCAGUACAAUACCUCUUCUCUUUCGUUAUUGGUAUGGCUUCGAACUAUCCAUAUUCACAGUCUUCUAGUUAUAUAGGACUUCUAAACAGCCAAAACCAACCUCCUAACCAUGAAAACUACCCUUAUGGAAGUUUUCAUUCUAGUGUCAACCUAGGAGCAUCAGAAAUCCCCCCAUUCAGUUCCCAACAACCUGAGGUGCCAUCUCAACCAGGAGUCACACCAGUGGAGCGAAGGGAGAGAAAGAAAUGGACGCCUGCUAUGGACGAGGUUCUGAUAAGUGGCUGGCUGAACACAUCUAAGGAUGUGGUUGUUGGAAACGAUCAAAAUGCACGGACUUUCUGGUUACGUGUUGAGGCGUAUUACAAAGCUAGUCUACCGGGUGGUGUGAUGUCAGAGCCUCUCCAUUGUAAGCAGAGGUGGCAUAAGAUCAACGACUUGACGAACAAGUUCUGCGGUGCAUUCGCAGCAGCAGAGAGACAAAUGACUUCUGGACAGAACGACACUGAUCUUCUCAAGUUGGCUCAUCAAAUUUUCUAUGCUGAUCACAAAAUGAAAUUCAAUCUUGAGCAUGCCUGGUGUGUGUUAAGGCAUGAACAGAAAUGGAUUAGCCUUAACACUUGUAAACCCACGGGAAGUUCAAAGAGAAAAUCUGCUGCGGAAAGUUCCCAAGCGAAUGUUGUUGAUAGUGAGACCUGACCUGAAGGUAUCAAGGCUGCUAAAGCUAAAAAGACUAAUGGUCACGGGAGGUCUAUGGCUGAGGUUACCACCAUUUGGGAAAGGAGGAAGGAAUAUUUGGCGAUGAAGGAGAAACUUUCAAAGCUGGCCAUUCUAGACACACUGCUCGCUAGAAAUGAACCCCUUAGUGAGGCUGAAGAAGUGGUAAAGAAUAAGUUUCUAGCCGCUUAUUUCUGAGAACUAUUCCCUAGCUAUGUUUUAAAUUUAAAAAUUAUGUCCUAAGUUAUUUGUUUUAUCUUUAAAUUUCGUUCUAUGUCUUCAACUUGAUGAAUGUACUCCCUGUUUAUGGCAUUUUACUAUCGUUAUUAAUGAAUCAGUUAUGUUAAUCCUGCCUAUGUCUUGUUUACUUCCGCUUAUUUCACUUAUUAAUGAAUCAUUUUGAAAUCCUGUUUUGUGGUUAUGUUAAGCUUGUAUAUGUAUUAACCUUAUCAAUUUUUUUUUGCAGGUUAAGUAAACAUGGGACUUGAUUACAGCUACUCUCAGCCUUCCUCAUCUGAGGCGUACGGUGACAAUGCAGCUGACAGUGGGUUCAGCGAAACAGAAGAGCUUAUUCGUCAGGACCAAGCUGAGCUUGACACACAGCAAACGACGGUUCAGUUCCCUCCUCAACCCGAGGUAGAGUUCGGAUUCCCUCAAACAUGUUACUGCGGUGCGCGUCCACUUCUUGCAACAUCUCUGAGUAGAAACAAUCAAGGGAGAUUAUACUAUACGUGUGCGAAUGUAGAUGAUGGUGAUUGCCAUGUAUGGAAAUGGUGGGACCAAGCUGUAAUGGAGGAGAUGAGAGCCCGAGAUUCUCACACACUUCAGUUGGCUGAGAAGGUUGAUUAUCUUGCCGGUAUGAGUGACUACGGGACAGAGCUUAACCUUCUUAAGGAUCACCAAUACGAGACUGAGCAAAAACUGGUGAGGCUAGAUAAGAUCGUGUCCGACAUAGGUAAUAAGAAAUCAACCUCUUCCUUUGGCUUUGGCUUUCAAUACGUUGUAGGUCUACUCGUGAUUGUGGUAGUCAUAAUAGGCUGCUUAAUGGUUCGUUAGUCAUGGUCUCGUCUAUAUUACAUGAUCUAGGAUGUAUUAUGGAUUAUGUGUAAUGUGUAAUGUUAAGCUUAUGUAAUGACUUUGUACUGAAUUUGUAGCCUUAUGUAAUGACUUAAUUGGCGUUAUGUGUAAUGUAUCAAGUUUGAAUUAUUUAUGUGUAAUGCAUGUGGCUUUUGGUUUGAUCCCGUGACUUACCUAUACUACCGACAUCUCCUUCCUCUCAAUAUGAUCCCGUGACUUUGUACUGACAUCCACCAUCCCCUCUUUGCUAUCCCGUGAGUUUACAGCAGUCAGUAAAUACAAAAAUGCACCACUUCUCAAAUCCUAUAAGUAGAAGUGUGCGUUUAUUUCUUUGAAAAUCACCACUUCUCAAUCUAUUCUCAAAACAAUUUCUCUCUUUUAAAAAUUGUUUAUGGCAUCUUCUUCCCAUUAUCAUUAUCAUAAUGAUGAUGAUGAUGAUAAUGAAUUUGAAACUCUAGUUGAAGAAUGCUUUCAAAUCCCUGAUAAUAUUCCCGAACCAAAAGAGAGAAAAAAACGCAUUUAUAUCGAGAGAAACCGGGAAAAAGGUCACAUUCAGCUUUGGAAUAAUUACUUUUCUGAAACUCCAACAUAUCCUCCUAAUAUUUUCCGUCGGCGAUUUCGAAUGACCAAACCAUUGUUCUUGCGUAUUGUGCAUCGUCUCGCUACAGAAGUAGAGUAUUUUUAACAAUGCGAAGAUGCUGUCGGACGGGCUAGUCUAUCUCUGCUCCAAAAAUGUACCGCUGCAAUUCGUCAAUUGGCGUAUGGUGGUGGGUCUGAUACAGUUGACGAGUAUGUACGAAUUGGUGAAACUACAGCUCGGAAAUGUUUGUAUCAAUUUACUGCCGGAAUUGUCCAGUUGUUUGGCGAUGAAUAUCUUAGACGUCCCACCCCGGAGGAUCUGGAAAGACUACUCCAUAUUGGAGAAGAACGUGGAUUUCCAGGGAUGGUUGGAAGCAUCGAUUGCAUGCAUUUGCAGUGGAAGAAUUGCCCCACCGCUUGGAAAGGUAUGUAUUCACGAGGAACCGGAAAACCAACAAUUGUGUUGGAGGCGGUAGCUUCACAUGACCUCUGGAUAUGGCACGCGUUUUUUGGAGCUCCAGGUACUAUGAACGAUCUUAAUAUUCUUGACCGUUCACCUGUUUUUGAUGAAAUUAUAAACGGAAACGCUCUGGAAGUCAAUUUCUAUGUCAACGGAACUGAUUACCAUUUGGGUUACUAUCUGGCGGAUGGUAUUUAUCUCAAAUGGGCUACUUUUAUUCAAUCUAUCUGACUCCUGCAAGGUCCAAAAAAUAGUUUAUUUGCUAAAAAACAAGAAGCCGUGCGAAUAGAUGUUGAGCGCGCCUUCGGAGUUCUGCAAGCAAGAUUCGCAGUUGUUAGAAAUCCAUCUAAUUUAUGGGAUAAAAAUAAAAUAGAAAAUAUUAUGAAAGCAUGUAUAAUACUUCAUAAUAUGAUUGUCGAAAAUGAACGAGGUUCAUACACUCAGCACGCUUCAGAAUUUCAACAAGGACAAGAUGUGGAUCCUACAUUUGUAGUCAGGAGGAGUACAAAUCUCGGUACUAUAUUGGGUCGUCGAGCAUAAGUUCGGGAUAAACAAAGCCAUCAACAAUUAAAAAAAGAUUUGAUUGAAAAUAUAUGGGAUAAAUUUGGAAAUCUCCUGAAUAACUACAAUGUUUAGAAAAAUUUGGACGGAAAAAUAACUAAAUAAAAUGUAUGUUCCUGUUUUUUUCAUGUUUGUAAUUUUUUUUCCAACUUUGUAAUUUUCUCAUAUUUUCAGUUUUAAUAAUGUUUUAUAUGUUUUAUUUUAAAUUUUCCUUUUAUAUGUCAUUACUUACUUAAAUAAAUAAUUAUUUAGCUAAGAAACUUUAGAAAGUCCUACCAAUAAUCUAAUUAUUGACAAUUGUCCUUAACUAUUGUCCUUAACCACAAAAUCUAACCUAUACUAAAAGGAGGAUAUAUUGAUCAGAGAGGAUGUCCACGUCGGACAAUAAAAUCUACCAAUCAGGGAUCACUUUCAUGCCAUGUCACUUAAUUAUUGUGUCCAAUUGAACUGGACGAAAAUACGUGGAAUUAUCGACUCUUCACCUUCAUCGUCUCCACAAUUGUUAUCAUUCUGCCGUCUGUAGUUAACUUCACCUCCACCUUUUUACAUUUACUUCUUUUUAUUAAUCUUUGCAACGGCAAAGACGUUUACAAUCCGACUCCACUCCUUUCUCUCUUUAAAUAAACUUUUUCGCUCAAACAUAGCUUCAACCACACCAAACAAUGGCUAUGAAAUCUGAGAACCCCGACGGCGAGGCUCCGCUGAACUAACAAAAUAAGAUGACAUCCCCUGAAAUUGCAACCACCUACUAUCAGGGCCAAAUCUAUAGCAGCAAGGAUGCUAUCGGAGCUGUGAUUAAAGAUCUGGGUUGAAUGGUAAGCUUAAAUCAUAGAUUAGGGUUCCAAAUCUAUGUUAGUUAGGUGACUUGAGGUUCAAUAUUUUGGACUCUGCUGGUAUUGAGACCGAAGUUUCUUUUUUUUUUUUUAGACCGAAGUUUCUUCUGGUACUAUUCUUGGGAGAACCACAUCUAUGACUGCUAAUGUUCUUGCAAGGACUCAGUUUGCAGUUCUUAUUAUCGACGUUCUAACCUAUACUAAAAGGAGGAUAUAUUGAUCAGAGAGGAUGUCCACGUCGGACAAUAAAAUCUACCAAUCAGGGAUCACUUUCAUGCCAUGUCACUUAAUUAUUGUGUCCAAUUGAACUGGACGAAAAUACGUGGAAUUAUCGACUCUUCACCUUCAUCGUCUCCACAAUUGUUAUCAUUCUGCCGUCUGUAGUUAACUUCACCUCCACCUUUUUACAUUUACUUCUUUUUAUUAAUCUUUGCAACGGCAAAGACGUUUACAAUCCGACUCCACUCCUUUCUCUCUUUAAAUAAACUUUUUCGCUCAAACAUAGCUUCAACCACAACAAACAAUGGCUAUGAAAUCUGAGAACCCCGACGGCGAGGCUCCGCUGAACUAACAAAAUAAGAUGACAUCCCCUGAAAUUGCAACCACCUACUAUCAGGGCCAAAUCUAUAGCAGCAAGGAUGCUAUCGGAGCUGUGAUUAAAGAUCUGGGUUGAAUGGUAAGCUUAAAUCAUAGAUUAGGGUUCCAAAUCUAUGUUAGUUAGGUGACUUGAGGUUCAAUAUUUUGGACUCUGCUGGUAUUGAGACCGAAGUUUCUUUUUUUUUUUUUAGACCGAAGUUUCUUCUGGUACUAUUCUUGGGAGAACCACAUCUAUGACUGCUAAUGUUCUUGCAAGGACUCAGUUUGCAGUUCUUAUUAUCGACGUGAGGUGAGAGUUUUUUUUUACUCUCAAGUUGCAAUCGACUAAGCUGUUGUUAGUGCUUUAUUCAUAUUCUUGUGUUCAUGUUUUUUUGUAGUGUGGGUUUGCAUCCGUUGGAUUUGGAAGUUGGUAAAUGGCUGAGCAAGCAUGCGCCACAAAUUAAGCCUAUAGUAGUGAUGAACAAAUCGGAGUCUAUUGGUGAAUCUCUUGCUGAAGUUGCUUAUGAGGCUCUUGCGCUUGGAUUCGGUGAGCCUACUGCUAUCUCGGCUGAGACAGGACUUGGGAUGACAGCACUUAAUGAAGUUCUCCAUCCUUUACUAGAGGAUUACAUGGUCCAAACCUUAAACGGAAAUAAAACUGUGUCAAGAAUCACUUGACUAGAAGAAGGUGCUUCUUUGUUUUCUCUCUUUAGUGAUGAACUUUAUAGUCGUAUAUUCAGAUAGAUGUACUCAAGAUGAUGUUCCAAGUGAUGAGAACCUCUCUGAAGAAGAUGAGUCCAAGUUGCCAUUGCAGUUAGCUAUUGUGGGUAGGCCUAACGUUGGGAAAUCAACAUUGCUAAAUGCAUUGUUGGAAGAAGAGCGUGUGUUGGUGGGUCCAGAAGCUGGUCUCACUAGAGAUGCUGUGAGAGUUCAAUACGAGUUUCAGGGCAGGACUGUCUAUAUGGUUGACACUGCUGGUUGGUUAGAGAGAACAGAGCGAGACAAAGGACCAGCGUCUUUAAGUAUCAUGCAGUCAAGAAAGAGUCUGAUGCGUGCACAUAUUGUCGCUUUAGUUCUCGAUGCUGAAGAGGUUCUGUCAUAUUCAAACAUAGUUGCCUUCUUUCUGUUGCAAAACUAAAGCGAUGACAUGUUUUUUGUUCCAGAUCAUAAAAUCUCAACGCAGUAUGGCACAUUCAGAAGUAGUUAUAGCUAAACGGGCUGUAGAAGAAGGACGUGGUUUAGUCGUUAUCGUUAACAAAAUGGAUUGUCUAGGAGGGAAACAAAACUCUGAGAUGUACAAGAAAAUCAAAGAAGCUGUUCCCAUUGAAGUUCAGGCAGUUAUUCCACAGGUUAUCUGAUCUGUCAUUACUCCUUAGUAAUAAUUGAAAGAAAGAAACCGAUCUUUUGUGAACUCUUGAGGUUCUUGAGCGAUGAGAAACAUAAUGUUUUGGUUACAGAUUACAGGAAUACCUGUUGUGUUCACCUCUGCAUUAGAGGGAAGAGGACGUUUACAAGUAAUGAACGAAGUCAAUGGCACAUACACGAGAUGGUGCUCUAGACUUUCAUUGGUCGCCUCAACCGCUGGUUAAUUAAGGAUGAUGGAAUCACAAAGAUAUUAUAUCAAUCAUUAAUAUCCUGUUAAAUAAUUGUAACUUACAUAUCCCAUAGAAAUUCAUAGUCUAUUAACAUUAGAAAUGAGAAACUCGAGUUUGAACUAAUAUGUGAAAUCAUAUUUACCUUCCCCAAUACUAAGGUUGGGUACUUUAUCCGAUAUCCAAAACCGCAUUCGAAUUUGAUCCAAAAACUCGAACCGGAAUCCAAAUUGAAGUAAUAAAAUACCCGAAUGGAUAUUGAGUUAGGAAAGAUUAGAUACCAAAAUCCAAACGGAUAAUAUCCGAACCCGAAUGGAUAUCCAAAGAUUAUCAAAGAUAUGUAUACUUAACCUUAUAUUUUUAGUUUAUUUCUUUUAUUUUAUUCAAAAUAAUUAUAUUAAUGCUACAUAUAAGUUUAUAUCAGAUAAUCCCACUAUAUAAAAGCUACUAAUUUUGGAUGUUAUAAAGGAUGCCACAUAGGCAAAAUAUUCUCAGCCAUUCAUUCUGCCACGUCACUGGUAACCCAGACCAACAAAUCGUAAUUGCAGCCCAGCCCGUUAACCGGUUUCGCUCACGAAAUUGCUGUCUCCGUCUCUUUGCUGUUGGGCCAGAUUAAAAAAUUUUCCAGCCCAUUCCAUUACUUAUUUCAACUGUCAAACUAUUUUCUUUUGCAUUUUCUAUUAUUUCAGACAAUUUUUUAUUUCAACUGUUUUCUAUAACAAUGUGCAAACCGCCUAAGUUCCCUUUGAUCUUAAAAUAGUACGCCCAAGAUAACAAAAUCCCCUCAUUUCACACACAGUCCCUGUAAAUUUCUAUAAAAAAAACUAAAUUCUACUAUCAAACCCACCCAACAAAUUUACUACUACCACCUAUAAUUAUGGCCCGGCCUACUUAAACUUUAAAAAAAACCAUGACAAUACUUAAAAAAAACACACCCUAACUAUGUUCACUUCAAAAAAAAAAAUUUAAACAAAAUUGCCAAAAAAAUACUAAUUCUCAUUCUUAUCUAUGUAGCACAUGCACCACAAGAUCAAAGCAAUUAGGACAACACUCUCGAACCUCAUCCAAUAAUCGUUAGGAUCCUUAGGGUCUGGCCCAUCACAAAUCACAAAAAUAAAGAUGCUUUCCUAGGGACAACUUUCAUAUGUCUUGACAUCCAGGUUUGUCUAAAAUUCAUAUUUUUAAUUAUUCCAACUAUAUUUCAAAUGAUUGCUUCUAACCACUAAACAGGAACAAAAAAUAGAGGGGAAGGUACCUAUUUCUACGUCUGACACAAUGUACCAACGCUUCGAAGAAGGGAAAAUUUAUCACAUUAGAUAUUUUAAUCUCCUCCCCAAUAACCAACGUUACAGGCUUACCGAUCAACCAUACAUAAUCAAUAUCAAAGAAACAACAACUAUUACACUGAUUCAAGAAAACAUUGCACCGAUUCCUUCAUACAUAUUCCGGCCACAACGCUACACCCAGUUGAUCAGCUUAGCAAGUGAAACCAACUUCCUACCAGAUGUUGUUGGCCGCAUUUGCCUCAUCCAAGGAAGUGAUUUAUAUAACCACUACACAGAUUCAAAAAUCAUCAUUGGAUUACGUUUAGACAGAUCGAAAUUGGUACGUCUAACUUUAUGGGACAAGGAGGCAUCUAAUUUCAGGGAGUUAAAUCGCAUAUCAACAAGGAAAAAACAAGUCGUAAUCAUCACAAGUAUCAUUCCACGGAUACAUGAAG